AGUGAACGCUGGCGGUAGGCCUAACACAUGCAAGUCGAACGGCAGCACAGUAAGAGCUUGCUCUUACGGGUGGCGAGUGGCGGACGGGUGAGGAAUACAUCGGAAUCUACUUUUUCGUGGGGGAUAACGUAGGGAAACUUACGCUAAUACCGCAUACGACCUACGGGUGAAAGCAGGGGAUCUUCGGACCUUGCGCGAUUGAAUGAGCCGAUGUCGGAUUAGCUAGUUGGCGGGGUAAAGGCCCACCAAGGCGACGAUCCGUAGCUGGUCUGAGAGGAUGAUCAGCGACACUGGAACUGAGACACGGUCCAGACUCCUACGGGAGGCAGCAGUGGGGAAUAUUGGACAAAGGGCGCAAGCCUGAUCCAGCCAUACCGCGUGGGUGAAGAAGGCCUUCGGGUUGUAAAGCCCUUUUGUUGGGAAAGAAAAGCAGCAGGUUAAUACCCCGCUGUUCUGACGGUACCCAAAGAAUAAGCACCGGCUAACUUCGUG
RNAcentral lists this ribosomal RNA (492 nucleotides) under uncultured bacterium. Its description in RNAcentral is "partial 16S ribosomal RNA". It matches the Rfam family "Bacterial small subunit ribosomal RNA", at positions 29 to 507 of the family's 1533-position model. The record is from RNAcentral.